This 329-nucleotide unclassified non-coding RNA is filed under the name soil metagenome. Its description in RNAcentral is "partial contains 5.8S ribosomal RNA, internal transcribed spacer 2, and large subunit ribosomal RNA". The stretch from base 1 to 120 matches the Rfam family "5.8S ribosomal RNA", at positions 35 to 154 of the family's 154-position model. The record is from RNAcentral.
GAUGAAGAACGUAGCGAAAUGCGAUAAGUAAUGUGAAUUGCAGAAUUCAGUGAAUCAUCGAAUCUUUGAACGCACAUUGCGCCCCCUGGUAUUCCGGGGGGCAUGCCUGUCCGAGCGUCAUUACAACGCUCAAGCUCAGCUUGGUGUUGGGCCCCGCCGCCCCGGCGGGCCCUAAAGUCAGUGGCGGUGCCGUCCGGCUCCGAGCGUAGUAAUUCUUCUCGCUCUGGAGGUCCGGUCGUGUGCUCGCCAGCAACCCCCAAUUUUUUUCAGGUUGACCUCGGAUCAGGUAGGGAUACCCGCUGAACUUAAGCAUAUCAAUAAGCGGAGGA